Non-coding RNA from Nicotiana tabacum (common tobacco), 328 nucleotides. The record is from RefSeq and is a predicted model, not a curated record. NCBI's taxonomy places the organism in Eukaryota, Viridiplantae, Streptophyta, Magnoliopsida, Solanales, Solanaceae.
AAUGGUAAGAAACGUAUUUCUUUUAAAAGGGGCAAAAGGCUUGAAAGCCUUAAUCAAAACACAACUAAAAACUCUGAAGGUUGAAAAGCCUUAUAGGAACAAGACAGAAGGCGUAAACUCACGCAAGCCUCAUACGGAAAAGAGAAACAGAACGAGAAACAGAGGCAGCAAGACUAUUUACGCAGACAACAAAAAAUUUAGGGUUCUUCACAAAUCACUAAUUCUUGAACUCAGAAUUAAUUGUUUGACGGGUAUAAAUUCGACUGGGGCCUACGUAUUGGCUCAAGGAUUUUUGAGGAACCGGUUUUGCAGGCGAGCAAGCUACGGG